RNAcentral lists this ribosomal RNA (281 nucleotides) under uncultured bacterium. RNAcentral describes it as "partial 16S ribosomal RNA". It matches the Rfam family "Bacterial small subunit ribosomal RNA", at positions 15 to 299 of the family's 1533-position model. The record is from RNAcentral.
GAUCCUGGCUCAGGAUGAACGCUGGCGGCGCGCCUAACACAUGCAAGUCGAACGGCACCCCUCUCCGGAGGGAAGCGAGUGGCGAACGGCUGAGUAACACGUGGAGAACCUGCCCCCUCCCCCGGGAUAGCCGCCCGAAAGGACGGGUAAUACCGGAUACCCCCGGGCGCCGCAUGGCGCCCGGGCUAAAGCCCCGACGGGAGGGGAUGGCUCCGCGGCCCAUCAGGUAGACGGCGGGGUGACGGCCCACCGUGCCGACAACGGGUAGCCGGGUUGAGACG